This 497-nucleotide ribosomal RNA is filed under the name uncultured bacterium. Its description in RNAcentral is "partial 16S ribosomal RNA". It matches the Rfam family "Bacterial small subunit ribosomal RNA", at positions 28 to 507 of the family's 1533-position model. The record is from RNAcentral.
GAUGAACGCUGGCGGCGUGCCUAAUACAUGCAAGUCGAGCGAACAGACGAGGAGCUUGCUCCUCUGACGUUAGCGGCGGACGGGUGAGUAACACGUGGAUAACCUCCCUAUAAGACUGGGAUAACUUCGGGAAACCGGAGCUAAUACCGGAUAAUAUAUUGAACCGCAUGGUUCAAUAGUGAAAUACGGUUUUGCUGUCACUUCUAGAUGUAUCCGCGCCGCAUUAGCUAGUUGGUAAGGUAACGGCUUACCAAGGCAACGAUGCAUAGCCGACCUGAGAGGGGGAACGGCCACACUGGAACUGAGACACGGUACAGACUCCUACGGGAGGCAGCAGUAGGGAAUCGUCCGAAAAGGGCGAAAGCCUGACGGAGCAACGCCGCGUGAGUGAUGAAGGUCUGCGGAUCGUAAAACUCUGUUAUUAGGGAAGAACAAAUGUGUAAGUAACUAUGCACGUCUUGACGGUACCUAAUCAGAAAGCCACGGCUAACUACGUG